Molecule: long non-coding RNA, 481 nt
Filed under: Elaeis guineensis (African oil palm)
Lineage: Eukaryota; Viridiplantae; Streptophyta; Magnoliopsida; Arecales; Arecaceae
Description: long non-coding RNA (EGUI_LNC059373)
Source: RNAcentral
GGUGCAUCCUACUCCAAAUAGUGAACCUGAACCUACAAUAGCCAACAUACAUAAUAAGUAUCUGAAUGGCUAAGGGCCAAAAAAAUAUGCAGUCAAACUAAAUAGUCUCACUGCAAAUAGCCAACACACCAUAGGUCAAAAGACUUGUCACACUACUGCAACAUCAAGAAAAUCACUGAUGAGUGAGUAGACAUCCAAGUGAUUUCUUAUAUUGGUCACGCUCAAUACAAGUUCUCUAACAACCACUUGCACUCUCACCUUAAUAUCUCCACACUACAGACUCAAGACUCAUCUGUCCAAAAGAGAGGUAAUCUAUAUACCUAUCUUAAAUAGAUUGAUCACUGUCCUCUGUGAUGAUCUUACGAUCGAAAGCAUUUAGAAAAUAACCACUAAUGAUGUAUGUCUCAAAUUCUCAACACCUUAAAAAUAUAUAAAAUUAUUUUUAUUAAUUUUUAAGAUAAAUCAUGGACACAUACUGUAU